AAAAAUACAAGAACAAGCAUCAUUCAAAGUGCUUCCAUCUUGUGGUAUAUAACUAUAUAUCUCUGAAGAAGAUGAGCAGCUCGGCAGGUGGUGAUGGCAAGGGGUGUGAUGCUACUCCCAAGACAGAGUGGCCUGAGCUAGUGGGAAGCACGAUCAAGGAGGCGACGGAGAAGAUCAAGGCGGAGCGGCCGGACCUCAAUGUGAAGGCGGUCCCAGUUGGCACCUUUGUCCCCCAAGUGUUCGACCCGAAGCGCGUCCGUCUCUGGGUUGACACCGUCGCCGAGGUCCCCAGGAUUGGCUGAACCAGCUUAACGCAAAGCCACCAAAUUAUGAAUGGUACAUGCAUGUGUUCCUCAGACCAAUCUACAUAGGUCAAUUAAAUAAAUAAAAAACAUGGCUGUGAUGGAGCGUUCUCGUAUG
Panicum virgatum (switchgrass) is the source of this 420-nucleotide long non-coding RNA. RefSeq lists it as uncharacterized. The transcript is spliced from 2 exons. The record is from RefSeq and is a predicted model, not a curated record. Lineage: Eukaryota; Viridiplantae; Streptophyta; Magnoliopsida; Poales; Poaceae.